This 515-nucleotide ribosomal RNA is filed under the name uncultured Pseudomonadota bacterium. RNAcentral describes it as "bacterial SSU rRNA". It matches the Rfam family "Bacterial small subunit ribosomal RNA", at positions 391 to 896 of the family's 1533-position model. The record is from RNAcentral. Lineage: Bacteria; Pseudomonadati; Pseudomonadota.
GCAACGCCGCGUGAGUGAUGAAGGCCUUCGGGUCGUAAAGCUCUGUCAGAGGGAAAGAAAUGCAGUGGUGCUAAUACCGCCAUUGCUUGACGGUACCCUCAAAGGAAGCACCGGCUAACUCCGUGCCAGCAGCCGCGGUAAUACGGAGGGUGCGAGCGUUGUUCGGAAUUAUUGGGCGUAAAGCGCGUGUAGGCGGUCUUUUAAGUCUGAUGUGAAAGCCCCGGGCUCAACCUGGGAAGUGCAUUGGAAACUGGAAGACUUGAGUACGGGAGAGGGCAGUGGAAUUCCUAGUGUAGGAGUGAAAUCCGUAGAUAUUAGGAGGAACACCGGUGGCGAAGGCGGCUGCCUGGACCGAUACUGACGCUGAGACGCGAAAGCGUGGGGAGCAAACAGGGUUAGAUACCCUGGUAGUCCACGCCGUAAACGAUGAGUACUAGGUGUCGCGGGUAUUGACCCCUGCGGUGCCGCAGCUAACGCAUUAAGUACUCCGCCUGGGAAGUACGGCCACAAGGCUA